CCUGGAAUUCUGGAGAAGCACGGUGUAGGGUGGGCCUAAGGGUUUAAAAUGAGGGGCAAAAUCUGUGUUUUAUUUGAGG
Bos grunniens (domestic yak) is the source of this 79-nucleotide microRNA precursor. Lineage: Eukaryota; Metazoa; Chordata; Mammalia; Artiodactyla; Bovidae. The record is from Ensembl.